GUAGGGGAGGGGAGCCGAGCGGCACCGGAGCGACCGCGUCUGCCCCGCCCGGGACUCAGCGUGGGUGGAAGGGUGGAUGGAUGCGGCGGGACCUGGCCCGCGUUUGCGGUGGCCGUGCCCCUCGGGAGCGCCCGUCCACGGGGAUCCCGUGAUAGCGAGGGGCGCCCGGGGGCGGGGGUUGCCCGUGUGCGGCAGCUCUGUGGCUUGUGAGCUGUUCCUCCGUGCCUCGGCCUCCGGCGUGGGAGCGGCAGCCUGGGAAGCCGAGUCUGGUGAAUACAGAUGGAAAGAGGGCAGCAAGUGAAGUUCAACAUGAGUUUGUUACUGGCUCUGGGAAUCUUCAAUCUGGACUCUGCCACGCUGUUGCCUUGCAAGCAGAAAGAUGUCACGUGAAUUCUAGAGCUACAGAAGUGACAUCAGGUGACCAUCUCCACUGUCUCCCAGCCUUGUGUAUGCACUCCGAGCCAGCAGUAGAGUCCACUGCUAGUCUUCCCAUUUUUGCUUAAGAGAUCAUGGGAGAGACUGUGGAGAGCUUGAAAAGAGCAGCCUGGAAUGUGGAGUUCUAAUGCACUUGGAAAUGCUUCCAUGGCCCUUCCUGCUUCUCAGAAAUACUGCUUGAUUCAAUAAUAUUGCAGGGAAGUACCUGUUUGCUGAAUAUGUCUGAAUAAUCCUGGAAUGAAGUUCAGGUGAGAGUGUCACUCUGGAAAGGGAACUGGCCUUAGAACUUGGUAUGAAUAUUUGAGUGUAUCAAAUAAAUGGAUUAAAAGUGAAUACAGCAAGGGUUAAAACGUGUAGGAAAACUCAUUAUCUUGGCUAAAGUGUUUACAAUGUUAGUAGUGGGUAUGAAUAAAAUCUUGGAUUUCUGUU
This is a long non-coding RNA of Neopelma chrysocephalum (saffron-crested tyrant-manakin), 864 nucleotides long. RefSeq lists it as uncharacterized. Lineage: Eukaryota; Metazoa; Chordata; Aves; Passeriformes; Pipridae. The record is from RefSeq and is a predicted model, not a curated record. The transcript has 4 exons.